CGGCACUGUGCGCGCUGGUGCGGGACUGUCCGAGUUCUGGGGAGCAGAGGCCCCGGUUCUUAGCGCUGCACUGGGCCGCGCUGCCCCGGGAUUUCUUUCCCAGCGCAUCGCCAGAGACCAUGUGUGUCCUGCCUUCGCCCGCGGGGGGAAGGGCUGUUCCUCCGGCCACGCCUUCAGAUGCAAGGGAUCCCGAUUCCUUUACUCCGCCAUUGGUCCGAGUGGCGGCGUGGUGAGGAGCCUAAUCCAAGAGAGGACCCGUGCCCAAUGUCGGCUCUUGCGCAACCCAGGCUGGUAAGAAAAUGCCCAUUUCCGACUUGAAUUACACAAAGGACCCAAGGGGAGCGCUCACUAGUCACUGCGGGCAGAACUGGCAACUCCAGAGCGGUAUUGAAGAGCCUGCUUGAAAACACAAGUGCCUCCACUUGAGAGAUUUGUUUUCCGGUCCAGGAAAUUAUCCCUGGUUUUCCCAGGCCGCCACACUAAGCCUCUGGAGAGUAAAUGUAUCCGGUAAAGACGAGCUUCUACAUGAAUGCCAGGUUCCCGAUCCACCCCUAGGGGUUGAUUUGUCUGUCCUUAAAGAAGGGAACAGAUGCAAACGGAAUGACAACAUUUCCUGUCACACCCCCGCCGUGUCCCCGACCCUGCAGGAGACAAUGGCUGCAGCCCCACGUGUCUGCAGUGAACACCCACAACUCUCCCUGGGAAAUUCACUCCCCACUUAGCAGAAGAAGAUGCUCCUCUGGCUGCACGUUGCUUUCCUGGCAGCACUUCCCCAAGGGGCCAAUUCGCAGGUUCAGCUGGUGGAGUCUGGGGGAGGCGUGAAAAUGGCAGGAGAGUCUAUCAGCAUCGCCUGUAAAGCCUCCGGGUUCACUUUUGGUGACUACUGGAUGCACUGGUACCGACAGUCUCCCGGGAAGGGACCCGAGUGGGUGUCCGGCAUUAGCUAUUGGGCUGGAACCGACAAGAGAUACGCUGAGUCGGUGAAAGGGCGAUUCACCAUCUCCAGAGACAACCCCAACAACCUGCUCUAUUUGCAAAUGUCUGGCCUUAGACCCGAGGACACGGCGGUGUAUCACUGUGUGAGAGGCACAGUGACUGGCAGGGACUCUAACCACGCACAAAAACAUCCCCUUUGCAGUCACAGCCUGCCGCGGGGCACAGCCCAGGGGAAGAGUCAGACACACAGAGAACUGAACCAAGGAGAAAAUGGCCCCAGCGUCGCGAUCAGCGCCUGAAGGACACGGCUUUUGUGGGGCU
Caretta caretta (loggerhead turtle) is the source of this 1257-nucleotide non-coding RNA. NCBI's taxonomy places the organism in Eukaryota, Metazoa, Chordata, Testudines, Cheloniidae. The record is from the annotation of a RefSeq genome assembly.